Molecule: ribosomal RNA, 282 nt
Filed under: Stygnus marthae
Lineage: Eukaryota; Metazoa; Arthropoda; Arachnida; Opiliones; Stygnidae
Description: partial large subunit ribosomal RNA
Source: RNAcentral
UUUCUUAAUUAGAGACUAGAAUGAAAGGUAGAAACCUUAAAGGAAUGUUUUUAUUAAUAAUUUUGAAUUUAAAUUAAAAAUUAAAAUGUUUUUAUAAAUUUUUGGGACGAUAAGACCCUAGAAGCUUAAAAAAUUAAUUUUUAAUUGGGGUAAUUAUUGAAGAAUAUAAAAUUUUAUUUUUAUAAAUAUAGUAAUUUUAAAGUUACUCUAGGGAUAACAGCGUUAUUUAAUUAGAAAGUUCUUAUUAAUAAUUAAGAUUGCGACCUCGAUGUUGAAUUAAAU